UACGAAGGGGGCUAGCGUUGCUCGGAAUCACUGGGCGUAAAGGGUGCGUAGGCGGGUCUUUAAGUCAGGGGUGAAAUCCUGGAGCUCAACUCCAGAACUGCCUUUGAUACUGAAGAUCUUGAGUUCGGGAGAGGUGAGUGGAACUGCGAGUGUAGAGGUGAAAUUCGUAGAUAUUCGCAAGAACACCAGUGGCGAAGGCGGCUCUUUGGUCUGUAACUGACGCUGAGGCGCGAAAGCGUGGGGAUCAAACAGG
Molecule: ribosomal RNA, 253 nt
Filed under: uncultured bacterium
Lineage: Bacteria
Description: partial 16S ribosomal RNA
Rfam family: Bacterial small subunit ribosomal RNA
Source: RNAcentral